UUACAUAGUUACAAGCUUGACUCUUGAAGUUAUUGAACUAUAUCUAAAAUGUCAUGACCCGGAACUCCCAUUGAGCCCAUGACAACCGCCGUGAAGCCUCGACAGACAUUCUUCACCCCGAAUGCCGAUCAAAACCUCGCAAGGCUCUCGUAUCAGCUUUCGUACUUCCCCGGUGAGCAAUAGUUAUCAAAUAUCGUAAUUCGAAGGAUUACAAGUCAUUUCCAAAUCAGAACAUAACAUAUUGUUUUCUGGCUCACAGGGGCAUUUUCGUUGUUUUUCUUUGAAAAUAUCGAAACCCACCAAAAACAUGAUGUAAAAGCUAAAUAUGUUCAUACAUACUUUAAAUCAGAUAACUGAAGUAUAAAAUUACUUUUACAGUGACAUAUGGACCCCCAACUGACCAAAAUGCAUCGAAAGCUAAAAACCUACAACUUUUGCCUAUUCAAGUCCAAAUGAAGGUCCUUGUCAAAGUCAGCUAACUAUGGAAUUCUCUAAGCCUGAAAUGUGAGUAAAUAAGGGUGGUGAGAUUAUAAAAUCCCAGUGAGUAAACAGACACCAUCUAAACUAUCUAAAGGCGAGCAAAUGGAGACGAAUUAAAAUAUUCUUUUCCAAUAUAUGUUUCAUAACAUGAAUAUUCAGUUUACUCAAUUAAUCAACAUGGCUUAUAUAUCUCACAAAACUUGGCUCCUGCCAAAAUCAUUCCCGAGGAUGCCUUGGCCUAGGCAUCUGAUCGAGACCACCAAGGCGGUUAAAUGUCUUUACAUCCAAAAUUCUAGCCAUGCCUUGGUGUUGGCUAAGUCUCACUCUCAUGCAGUGGUCCACGUGAAGUGCACUCAAAUCUUUACCUCAGGAGAUACUUCAUCCAACAUAUCCCCCGGAAGGUAAUUAUAUAACUGGAUUACUGUGCCCCUCUCAUAGGCAGCCCAUGGAAACCCCCACCACUGCAGUGACUAUGGAUUAUUUUAUCUACCAU
This 973-nucleotide long non-coding RNA is filed under the name Theobroma cacao (cacao). RNAcentral's name for it is "long non-coding RNA (TCAC_LNC004416)". The record is from RNAcentral. Lineage: Eukaryota; Viridiplantae; Streptophyta; Magnoliopsida; Malvales; Malvaceae.